This 4988-nucleotide long non-coding RNA is filed under the name Nicotiana tabacum (common tobacco). Its description in RNAcentral is "long non-coding RNA (NTAB_LNC009114)". Lineage: Eukaryota; Viridiplantae; Streptophyta; Magnoliopsida; Solanales; Solanaceae. The record is from RNAcentral.
GCAUUGCCCUUUCAUUUUGGCCACCUACACUGACGGAGCUACCAAGAAUUCUAUCUUUGACACCGUUCUCAAAUUGCUCUCUGUUUCUUUUUGUAAUUGUAAUGUCAAUUGCUCUCUGCUUCAAAGACUAGUCCCCAACAUUCUCCAAUUCGAUGACACCAUUACUCUUUCAAAAUUCUUUUUUGUCAAAGACGAAUCCAGCUAAUUCAUCAGCCAUGAAUUUGAAAUUUUUGAAGAGAACUAGAGGAAGAUUUUGGCAAAAAUUGAAAGAAAAGGAGCUUCGAUAUAAACAUUGACCCCGCUCGCUGCAAAAAGGUACGUUUUUCAUCAAUUUUUCUGGAAUAGCAGCUGAAAUUUAGUUCUCUGAUUUCCUCAUAAGUUGCAGAUGUAAAUAUGACUUAAAAUAAAUUAAUGAGAUUUUGCUUUGAUAUUGGCAACAGUAAAUUUGUAUUGUUGGCAAUACACUUUAUUUUUGCCUACAAAAUAGGUGGGUUGUGGCCUAAAACUUAGCUAAUUAUUUUCCAGUUUUCCGCCAAAAUCAAACGCGCCAAAAUUUUCUCUUGUUAAUCACUUUUUCCGGAUUUUUAGCCCACUAUUUUAGUUGCUUUGGGUAAGUUUUUUGUUGCUGCCAUAUUUUAUUUGAAAACAUAGUUGUUUUAAAAUAUAAUAAAUUAGCAAUAAUUUAUAUUUGGUAGAACCCUUAAUUGUCUCAACAAGUUCUGUUCACGCCUUAAUUUUCUCAACAUGUUUGAUUAGUGGCCUAAGAUUUAGCUUAGUAUUUUUCAACUUUCCGCCCAAAGAAAAGCGGCAAACCAGUUUCUUCCUUUUAAUUAUCUUUUCCUUAAUCCUUAGCCUAUUUCAGUUACCAUUCUAGCAAGGUUUUCUCCUUUAUUAUUCUACAUCUCUGAGCAAUUGGUUCUGGUCUAUUCUUUGCUUCGUUAUUUCUCGUCUACAAAGUCUGGUGAGUCUUGCUGAUUACUAUUUAUCUAUAGUGUGUUCCUUCGCUUGUAUCACUGUUCGUUCAAUUUAUAUGCUGUUAUUUUUACUGUAUUUUAGUAUACAGUCCUUCUCUGACCUUUUCCUUAUUUAUUUUUUUGCUAAAUUGACAGCAAAAAAUUGAGGGACAGUUAAUAUUUUAUAAUUUGUAGGUUAUUAUAUGAUGGAUAAAAGUUGGAUACUUCUUAGGAAUAGGGCAUUACCAGAAUACUUGAAUGGCGUGGAACAAUUUUUAAACUUUGCAUUUUCAAAUCCUAAUAUUGGUUUAAGAAUUCAAUGUUCGUGCACUAACUGUAACCAUGUGCGUAGGAAAACACGAGAAGAAGUGAAAAUAGAUUUACUUAGGUGGGGUAUAGAUCCAACAUAUAAUAGGUGGAUUCAUCAUGGUGAGUCAGAUUCAUCUUCAGAUGAUGAAAUAAAUUCUAGUGCAAAUUCAGAUUUAGGAAAUGAUGAUGAUGCCACUUUCGAGAUGUUGCAUGACAUGUAUCACGGUGUUCCUAUAGAUAAUAUAACUCAUGAUCCGUCUGAUGAGUCGGCUGAGUCUAGAUAUGAAGAACCUAAUGCAGAAGCUAAGAGUUUUUAUCGGUUGUUAAAGGAUGCAGAGCAGAAGUUACAUCCAGAUUGUGAAAAGUUCUCGAAGCUCUCUUUUGUAAUGCGUCUUUUUCAAAUGAAGUGCUUGCAUGGUUGGAGUAAUACUUCAUUAGACUCUUUGUUAAAACUAUUAAGUGAUGCCUUUCCCAAAGGACAUGUGCUCCCUAAUUCUAUUUAUGAAGUUCAAAAGAUUAUUAAAGAUUUGGGUCUGGAUUAUGUGAAAAUAGAUGCUUGUGUUAAUAAUUGCAUCUUAUAUAGAAAGGAAUAUGCGGAUCUUGAGCAAUGUCCUAAAUGUGGUGAGAAAAGAUGGAUAGUACGGAAAGGAGGAGAAGAUGACAAUGAGGUUGCUUCAAGUAAAUUGAAUAAGAGAAAGAAAGGAAUUCCUAGGAAAAUUCUUAGAUACUUUCCUUUGAUCCCAAGAUUACAACGAUUGUUUAUGACUAAACGAACCGCAGAAGAUAUGAGAUGGCAUAAAGAUAAGCGAGUUGAUGAUGGAGUAUUAAGGCAUCCAGCUGACUCACUGACAUGGAAAACUUUUGAUGAGAACCAUUUGGAUUUUGCAUCAGAUCCACGUAAUGUAAGACUUGGACUUGCUUCAGAUGGUUUUAAUCCUUUUGGUUCCAUGAGUAAUGCCUACAGUAUGUGGCCAGUAUUCUUGAUUCCGUAUAAUCUUCUCCCAUGGCUAUGCAUGAAACAGUCUAAUAUUUUAUUAUCCUUGCUUAUUCCUGGCCCAAAAAGCCCUGGUAUGGAUAUAGAUGUGUAUCUCCAACCUUUGGUUGAUGAUUUGAAAAAAUUAUGGGCGGAUGGAAUUGAGACUUAUGAUGCUUUUAAGCAACAAAAUUUUCAAUUACGUGCUUCAUUGUAAGUUCAUUUAUUCCGAGUGGUAUUUCUAAUUUCAUAUGCUUGUGUUUCUGUAUAUUGCUCUUCCUCCACCCUUCAUCCCUUUGCACUUACCAUUUUGUUGCUUUGGCAAUAAAUCUCAUGUAUCCUUUUGUUAUUCUCUGCCUGUUACUAUGAUAGUUCUGAUAUUUGGUCGCACUCUUUGUCCUUAAUGUGGUCUGUUCCAGGUGCAAGUAAACCACAUACAAAUUGAGAACAAAGUAUAAGGGUUAUGUGAUCAUCCUGGCUGGAACUGCAUUUUCUAAUAUAUUCCCGUUGAUUCUACUUCAGCAAAGUUUCAUUGCACAUUAGAUUGUAGACUGAGGUUAUUUUGUUCUUAGUGAUAAGCCAAAGUUAUCCAUCUGAAAUCUUGCUCUUUGUUUGCUCUUUGUACAAAAAUUGAACUAUCAUAUAUGCUGCUCAAUAUAACCGUUUAGUAAUCAUUUGAUUGCCUAGUUGGAACUUAUUUCUUGAACUUAGUUGUGGUUCAUCAGUUAAGUUGUUAUUAAUUAGACAUUGUUGUCGUACACCUCUAAUUUUGGCUUCUAAUUCUUGAAGUAUUUUUAUUUUUCCUAAGUCGGGGGUCUUCCGGAAAUAACCUCUCUGUUUUCUUGAAGGUAGAGGUAAGGUCUGCGUACAUCGUACCCUCCCCAGACUCCACUUAUCAUGAAAUUAUACUGGGUUUGUUAUUGUUGUUAAAUACAAUGUAAGUUUUAUUUAAUAACAAAUUGCUUUAUUUUGUUCUUUUAUCUGCUUCUUUUUUUAAAAUUCAAUUAUAGUUUAGUACUAAUACAAAAUAGUCAACUUAAUUAAUUUUUUUCUUUUUUGCAAAUUCCUUCCUUAAAAUUGAAAGCCUCAAAUUGCUUUAACAAAUCUUCUGCCACAAUCUUCUUUAACAAUCACUUUGAAUGGGCAAGAGAAACUAAGAGUUUGAGACUCUUUUUCAAUUCUUUUAGUAUAAACAUACUCUUAAUCUUAAUUUCUCUAGUAAGUCUUUGAUAAUUUUAAGUUUGAACGCCCUUUCCGAAGAACACUCUCUCUCCCCCGUUUAGUGCUUUCUUUUUCUUUAGAACUUCUUUUUGUUAAUACUUGGAUGAUAAGUCAUCAUAAUCAUUAAUUUUCAAAGAGUUGCACGCCAAAUUUUAUCGCUGGUGAUUAGCAUAUACAGUGGUGCCCCCGUCAUGCUCAAAUCCUGGGUCCGCCUAUGUAUAGGAGAAGAGGUUGGAUGCUAAAAAAAGGCCAUUUUGUUCAUCCUUAGCAGUGAAGUUGGGAGAAGGCAUCCACCUUAGCAUCCACACCUGGGCGCAGCAAGGAUGAGGGAACAAAGGGUGGACGCGAAGCAUACACCCCAGUAUCUUAUGCUGAAAAGUUCAAGCUGAGGCAGACUUGAAGCUUCCAACUCAACAUCAAUCCCUGAAGUUGAGUUGGAAAAGGAAAAGGAAAACUUUGGCCCACGACUUUUGUAUGCAAUAUAUAAGUCAAAAACGCCUCUUUUAGAUCAUCCAACACAUUGGGAAGCAAAGUCAUCAUAGAGUAUGGAAACCACAGAAUUCGUCUUGAGUUCUUACUUUUCCCUUCUUUUAUAGAUUUUUAUGUAUUCUUGGGAGUUAAUUGAGAUUACUACCAUGAUUAUGAGUGGCUAAACUCGUUUAUUCUGGGGUUAUGAUUUUACAUGAAUGUUGAUAUUCGAAUAUUGAUUUGACGAGUUAAUUUAUCAUAUUGGGUUGUUUAUUCAUAUCCUGAGUUCAAUUAUUUUACUGCUUAGCUAACAGUGAAAUACUAUAUAUGAAUCUUGAGUUGAACUUGAAAGAGGUAAUUCUUGAUUGCAAUAAGAUUGAAUAGAGCGCGAUCUUGAACCUAGUCAUUGGGGAAUUGAUUUGCGAAUACGGAUAGAAAUAUACCUAUUUUCCAUGCUUAGCCAAUUGUGCAAGAAAUCAUGAAUGCGUUCUUUUAUCUCUAAUCUCAUAGAAAUAUACGGUUUAGAAUAAAUUGAAUAGGCGAGUAGAAGAUGUCAAAUUUCUACAAGUAUUAUUGUCCUUGUAGGUUAAUAACCUAGCUAAAUUAAUAAGUCGAUUUGAUUGAAGAAUUGAACAUGAUUGUUACUUAACCAUGACCCUGGAAUCUUAUUUUUCAUUGAAUUAAAAUCUUCGUGCCAAGUGUGGUAAUUAAUUAGUUUUCCUUUUAAUCGCAAUUGUAGUUAGUACAAUUAAUCAAACAAAAAUCCUUUGAAAUUGUUCUUGACUUAAUAAAUUAGAAUUCGCUUGAUUUAGUUGAUAAUUGAUUACAAAUACUCGUGGGAACGAUACUCUACUCACUCUUUAUUACUUGAUUGACUGCGUAUACUUGCGUGUGUGAUUUUAGGGCAACAAGUUUCUAGUGUCGUUUUGGGGGACUUAGAAAUUAAUUGUUUACUAGAUUAUGCUUUUAUUACUCAUCGAGUUAAGUUUUUAAUAUUCUUUUUGGCUUGGUUUGUUAUCUCAGGUACUUUGCUUGAAUGUGACGGGUUAGAAGCCAGGAUAGAC